This 469-nucleotide ribosomal RNA is filed under the name uncultured bacterium. RNAcentral's name for it is "partial 16S ribosomal RNA". It matches the Rfam family "Bacterial small subunit ribosomal RNA", at positions 28 to 507 of the family's 1533-position model. The record is from RNAcentral.
GACGAACGCUGGCGGCGUGCUUAACACAUGCAAGUCGAACGGAAAGGCCCUGCUUGCUGGGUGCUCGAGUGGCGAACGGGUGAGUAACACGUGGGUGAUCUGCCCCUUAUUUUGGGAUAAGCCUGGGAAACUGGGUUUAAUACUGGAUAGGACCAUGCUGUAGGGGGUGUGGUGGAGGGAUUAGUUUAGGUAAGGGAUGAGCUCGCGGCCUAUCAGCUUGUUGGUGGGGUAAUGGCCUACCAAGGCGUCGACGGGUAGCCGGCCUGAGAGGGUGGUCGGCCACAUUGGGACUGAGAUACGGCCCAGAAUCCUACGGGAGGCAGCAGUGGGGAAUAUUGCACAAUGGGCGGAAGCCUGAUGCGGCGACGCCGCGUGGAGGAUGAAGGCCUUCAGGUUGUAAGCUCCUUUCAGCCAUGACGAAGCCCUUGUGGUGACGGUAGUAGUAGAAGAAGCACCGGCUAACUACGUG